RNAcentral lists this ribosomal RNA (536 nucleotides) under fungal endophyte. RNAcentral describes it as "eukaryotic LSU rRNA". The stretch from base 187 to 340 matches the Rfam family "5.8S ribosomal RNA". Lineage: Eukaryota; Fungi. The record is from RNAcentral.
CGGAGGGAUCAUUACUGAGUUUACGCUCUAUAACCCUUUGUGAACAUACCUAUAACUGUUGCUUCGGCGGGUAGGGUCUCCGCGACCCUCCCGGCCUCCCGCCUCCGGGCGGGUCGGCGCCCGCCGGAGGAUAACCAAACUCUGAUUUAACGACGUUUCUUCUGAGUGGUACAAGCAAAUAAUCAAAACUUUUAACAACGGAUCUCUUGGUUCUGGCAUCGAUGAAGAACGCAGCGAAAUGCGAUAAGUAAUGUGAAUUGCAGAAUUCAGUGAAUCAUCGAAUCUUUGAACGCACAUUGCGCCCGCCAGCAUUCUGGCGGGCAUGCCUGUUCGAGCGUCAUUUCAACCCUCAAGCUCUGCUUGGUGUUGGGGCCCUACAGCUGAUGUAGGCCCUCAAAGGUAGUGGCGGACCCUCCCGGAGCCUCCUUUGCGUAGUAACUUUACGUCUCGCACUGGGAUCCGGAGGGACUCUUGCCGUAAAACCCCCCAAUUUUCCAAAGGUUGACCUCGGAUCAGGUAGGAAUACCCGCUGAACU